RNAcentral lists this ribosomal RNA (460 nucleotides) under uncultured bacterium. Its description in RNAcentral is "partial 16S ribosomal RNA". It matches the Rfam family "Bacterial small subunit ribosomal RNA", at positions 338 to 795 of the family's 1533-position model. The record is from RNAcentral.
CCUACGGGAGGCAGCAGUGAGGAAUAUUGGUCAAUGGGCGGAAGCCUGAACCAGCCAAGUAGCGUGCAGGAUGACGGCCCUACGGGUUGUAAACUGCUUUUAUACGGGAAUAACGCGCCUUAAGUGUAGGGCUUUGCAUGUACCGUAUGAAUAAGGACCGGCUAAUUCCGUGCCAGCAGCCGCGGUAAUACGGGAGGUCCGGGCGUUAUCCGGAUUUAUUGGGGGUCAAGGGAGCGUAGGCGGCAUGUCAAGCGUGCUGUGAAAUGUGCGGGCUCAACCCGGGCAUUGCAGCGCGUACUGGCGUGCUUGAGUCCGCGGAAAGCAGGCGGAAUUCGUGGUGUAGCGGUGAAAUGCUUAGAUAUGACGAAGAACCCCGAUUGCGAAGGCAGCUUGCUGCAGCGGAAUUGACGCUGAUGCUCGAAAGCGCGGGUAGCGAACAGGAUUAGAUACCCUUGUAGUC